GUAGACCUGUAUGAAAGGCAAAAUGAGAGCCCAACUGUCUCUUAUAACAAAUCAAUAAAACUGAUCUCUUAGUACAAAAGCUAAGAUACUAACAUAAGACCAGAAGACCCUGUGAAGCUUUAACAAACUCAUUAAACCAAAUAAUGAUUACUUUAGGUUGGGGCGACCUUGGAAUAAAAAAGAACUUCCAAUAUUAUGACUUCUCAUAAAACAAGGCAAACAAGCCNAUACUAGACCCAGCACAGCUGAUAAUUGAAAUAAGUUACUCCAGGGAUAACAGCGCUAUCUUCUUCAAGAGCCCAUAUCAAAAAGAAGGUUUACGACCUCGAUGUUGGAUCAGGACAUCCCAGUAAUGCAUCCGUUACUAAAGGUUCGUUUGUUCAACGAUUAACAGUCCUACGUGAUCUGAG
This 410-nucleotide ribosomal RNA is filed under the name Trimeresurus macrops (Kramer's pit viper). RNAcentral describes it as "partial 16S ribosomal RNA". It matches the Rfam family "Bacterial large subunit ribosomal RNA", at positions 1982 to 2609 of the family's 2925-position model. Lineage: Eukaryota; Metazoa; Chordata; Lepidosauria; Squamata; Viperidae. The record is from RNAcentral.